Molecule: ribosomal RNA, 1459 nt
Filed under: uncultured Bordetella sp.
Lineage: Bacteria; Pseudomonadati; Pseudomonadota; Betaproteobacteria; Burkholderiales; Alcaligenaceae
Description: partial 16S-23S ribosomal RNA intergenic spacer
Rfam family: Bacterial small subunit ribosomal RNA
Source: RNAcentral
GGUUCGAUUCUGGCUCAGAUUGAACGCUGGCGGGAUGCUUACACAUGCAAGUCGAGCAGCGGCACGGACUUCGGUCUGGUGGCGGAAAUUGGCGAGCAGGUGAGUAAUGUAUCAGAACGUGCCCUGGUAGCGAGGAUAACUACGCGAAAGCGUAGCUAAUGCCGCAUACGCCCUUCGAAGCGGGGACGCCGGGCCUCGCACUAUUAAACGGCCGAUAUCGGAUUAGCUAGUUGGUGGAGUAACGGCUCACCAAGGCGACGAUCCGUAGCUGGUUUGAGAGGACGACCAGCACGCACAGGACUGAGACACGGCCCAGACUCCUACGGGAGGCAGCAGUGAAAUUUUGGACAAUGGGGAAACCUGAUCCAGCCAUCCCGUGUUGCGAUGAAGGCCUUCGGGUUAUAAAGCACUUUUGGCAGGAAAGAAACGGCUGCGGGAUAAUACCCCGUGCAACUGACAAACCUGCAGAAUAAGCACCGGCUAACUGCGUGCCAGCAGCCGCGGUAAUACGUAGGGUGCAAGCGUUAUCGGAAUUACUGGGCGUAAAAAGCGUGCGCGAGCGGUUCGGAAGAAAGAUGUUGAAAUCCCAGGCUUAACUUUGAACUGAGUACCCAUACCGAGCUGAAGGUGUGUCAGAGGAGGUGGAAUUCCGCGUCGCCAGCAGUGAAAUGCGUAGAUAUGCGGAGAACACCGUGCUUGAAGGCAGCCUCCUGGGACUUGACGCUCAUGCACGAAAGCGUGGGGAGCAAACGGGAUUAGAUGCCCUGGUAGUCCACGCCUAAACGAUGUCAACUAGCUGUUGGGGCCUUCGGGCCUUGGUAGCGCAGCUAACGCGUGAAGUUGACCGCCUGGGGAGUACGGUCACAAGAUUAAACUCAAAGGGAUCCAAUGGGGACCCGCACAAGCGGUGGAUGAUGUGGAUUAAUUCGAUGCAGCGCGAAAAACCUUACCUACCUUGACAUGUCUGGAAUCCCGAAGAGAUUUGGGAGUGCUCGCAAGAGAACCGGAACACAGGUGCUGCAUGGCUGUCGUCAGCUCGUGUCGUGAGAUGUUGGGUUAAGUCCGCAGGCGCAACCCUUGUCAUUAGUUGCUACGAAAGGGCACUCUAAUGAGACUGCCGGUGACAAACCGGAGGGAAGGUGGGGAUGACGUCAGGUCCUCAUGGCCCUUAUGGGUGAGGCUUCACACGUCAUACCAAUGGUCGGGACAGAGGGUCGCCAACCCGCGAGAAGACCAAUCCCAGAAACCCGAUCGUAGUCCGGAUCGCAGUCUGCAACUCGACUGCGUGAAGUGGAGAUCGCUAGUAAUCGCGGAUCGGCAUGUCGCGGUGAAUCGUUCCCGGGUCUUGUACACACCGCCCGUCACGUAAAUUGGGUUUUACCAAGUAGUUAGCCUAACCGUAAGGAGGCGAUUACCACGAUAGGAUUCGCAGCUGGGGUGGAGAGUCGUAACAAGGUAA